This 7209-nucleotide long non-coding RNA is filed under the name Mytilus galloprovincialis (Mediterranean mussel). The record is from RNAcentral. Lineage: Eukaryota; Metazoa; Mollusca; Bivalvia; Mytilida; Mytilidae.
CUUUAUAGUCAGCAUUCAAAAAAGGAUUUAAAUCGUUAUUUCGAUUUUGUCUCUGACAAUCUGACAGAUUCGUGCAUAUUCUGUUACAAGUAGGUUAUGUCGUCACAAGUGUUUAUUCAUUUCUAAUGCGGUUUUUAUUUAUAAAAAGAUGGAAAUAUUCUACAAAUCUCUGAUUAUUGCGUACUUUACAAUAUAUCUUGUUGUUCUAUCGGACACUUCCAAUACUGGUAAGUUAGGAUAUUUUUUCUCUUUGAAAAUGUAAACUAGAAUGCUAUGUAUCAAUAGCAAGGGUGUGCUAAGAUAAACAACAACACAGUAAAUAAACUCACCAUAGAUACCAGAUUUGCAUAUUUGCACACCAGACGCGCGUUUCGUCUACAUAAUGAAGCCAACCUAAGUUCCCAAUAAAUCAAUCAAUAAAAUUCCACACGAAAAAGAUAAGACCAAAUAAAGAAACAACAGCGCAUGACGAAAAAGGACAAGAGCAAACGAAACACUGAAAUUCUAGAAGUUGGACAGUCCGAAACAUAAAAUACUUUUUUUAUGUAGUCCUGACGAUAUAGAAAUUGUUUAUCUCCAUUAGUAGAUCUUCAGUAACUCAAAGUUAGCGGCUAACAUAUCAUGCGUAUUGAGGAUAUGUAGCAAUCAUUAAAAAGCAGGAUAGGGGUCAGAUUACACAGAGUAGAGUUUAGAUAGAUAUUUUACAGGAUGUCUCUCACACUGGGUCAGUUCGAAAGGAAAGUCGUAUGUUUUCUCAUUUUUACAGAAUGUCAACAAUCUACCAUGUUCACUUGAUUUAAAGUCUGGAAUUACAGAAAAAGUUGCAAGUGAAAGGACUGAAAAAGUUAAACUGCCAGUAACUUCGUGACAUCCAUUUUGAACCAGAUUAAAGAAUCAUAUCAGUUACCCCAUAUAAAAUCUUUUGUCUUCCUAUAAUGAAAAAAUGUUUUUCAACAAAAUUAGCAACUUUUAAAAAAAAAAAACCGGAUUUAAAGUAUGCAAGAAAAAUUAUUUGGUUCAGUACCCAUAUUGAAUUUGUGGUAAGGAAAUGAGAUAUGUGAAUUAAAAAAAAUGAACUAAUAAAUGAAUAGAUUAAAUAGCAAGUUCAUUUUACAUAUGGUAAUACCGACGGUGCAAAGGCUGUAUAGCCAGCCAAGGUAGUUUAAAAAAUUCCAUAUAUAUACAUAUGUUUAUUUGAUAAAUAUUUUGAGGAUUGCGCGUAUAUUGGUUUGCUUCGUUUAUGAGACAGUAAUAUAUACAUCACUUGUUUGUUUUAAAACUACGAGAAAUUAACAAGCAGGUAUGAAGAAUAUAGACUUAAAGGACGACAAUUUUAUUUUUUGAGAGGGGAGAAGAAUUUGAAAUGUAUAUCUGGGCCAGGUAAAGAUUGAAUGUUCCGAUAGAACAUAUUUUAAUGAAUUCCUUAAUAUUGAUCAACUUUGUCAUAUUGUCCAUUCAUGAUAAAGUACUAAAAACAAGCGAAUGUUUAUACUAGAUUUAUUCAUUAUCUAAAUAGAUUCUUCACACAAUACUCAUAUUUAUUUUCAAAUAAACUCCCGUGCCAGUAAUAUAUUCGACAAGGAAGACUUAGUAUUACUUUUCUAAAGCUUAAAACAUGCAAAGAUUCAAUAGAGUACUAGGAAUAUCGUUCUCAUACAACAUGCAAAGAUUCAAUAGAGUUCUGAAAAUCUUUCUUAUACAACAAGAAAGAUUCAAUAGAGUUCCAGGAAUAUCUUUCUCAUACAACAAGAAAGAUUCAAUAGAGUUCUAUAAAUAUCUUUCUCAUACAACAAGAAAGAUUCAAUAGAGUUCUAGGAAUAUCUAUCUCAUACAACAAGAAAGAUUCAAUAGAGUUCUAGGAAUAUCAUUCUCAUACAACAAGAAAGAUUCAAUAGAGUUCUAGGAAUAUAUCUUUCUCAUACAACAAGAAGAUUCAAUAGAGUUCUAGGAAUAUCUUUCUCAUACAACAAGAAAGAUUCAAUAGAGUUCUAGGAAUAUCUUUCUCAUACAACAAGAAAGAUUCAAUAGAGUUCUAGGAAUAUCUUUCUCAUACAACAAGAAAGAUUCAAUAGAGUUCUAGGAAUAUCUAUCUCAUACAACAAGAAAGAUUCAAUAGAGUUCUAGGAAUAUCAUUCUCAUACAACAAGAAGAUUCAAUAGAGUUCUAGGAAUAUCUUUCUCAUACAACAAGAAAGAUUCAAUAGAGUUCUAGGAAUAUCUUUCUCAUACAACAAGAAGGAUUCAAUAGAGUUCUAGGAAUAUCUUUCUUAUACAACAAGAAAGAUUCAAUAGAGUUCUAGGAAUAUCUUUCUCAUACAACAAGAAAGAUUCAAUAGAGUUCUAGGAAUAUCUUUCUCAUACAACAAGAAAGAUUCAAAAGAGUUUUAGGAAUAUCAUUCUCAUACAACAAGAAAGAUUCAAUAGAGUUCUAGGAAUAUCAUUCUCAUACAACAAGAAAUAAGGAAAGAUAAAAGGUUUUUUCUUGACAUCUCGGUUUUCAAUAUAAACUCCAUAUAUCUUUCUUGACAUCUCGGUAUUCAAUAUAAACUCCAUAUAUCUUUCUUGACAUCUCGGUAUUCUAUAUAAACUCCAUAUAUCUUUUAAACUCCAUAUAUCUUUCUUGACAUCUCGGUAUUCUAUAUAAACUCCAUAUAUCUUUCUUGACAUCUCGGUAUUCUAUAUAAUUCCAUAUAUCUUUCUUGACAUCUCGGUAUUCUAUAUAAACUUCAUAUAUCUUUUUUCACAUCUCGGUAUUCAAUAUAAACUCCAUAUAUCUUUCUUGACAUCUCGGUAUUCAAUAUAAACUCCAUAUAUCAAUACAGAGAUAAGCCUGUUUUUGUAUUAAACUUAAAUGUUUGUUAACCUAGUGUAAAAAAUAUUUUAAUUUCAAAACAUAAUAUGCAAACUUAUAUAUGGAAUCUACAAGAUUAGAGAAAAGCAACCAAUCCUUAAGAAAGAAAAAAAAAAUAGGCUAACAACUUAAAUAAUAUACCUUUUCUUACAUUGAUUUUUUUUUCAGUUCAGUGAUCAAAAUUAACUUUUGUUUGAAACACUAAGGCCACACCAAUUUGAUUCCUUGUUCGACGGACCCGCCCGCACCUAUUUUUUUCAAAACAAUUUUUUUAUUUUUUUAUAUUCCCGCUUCCCGCAUCCGGAAAUGUAAUCAUGUCCAUUUCCCGCACCGUUUUUUUUUUGUUUUAUAAAAAAUAUCAACAUUUGUUUUUAAAAUCACAUUCUAACCUGUAUAUAAUGAUUUUAAACAUAAAAGCACCCCUCCACACUUUGUAAAUAUCUGUGAGAAUAUUUGUUUCAGCAUGAAACAUAUUUAUCUAAAGCGGGAGUGCUCCGAUAUAAAUUUAUAACAGCGGGAUACCUGUAAAGAACAAAAAAAAUGGUUCUUUCCCCCUUACUUAUAUUCCCUAUCAAAAAAUUUUCGUGUUAGAAUAAAUAAAAGAACUUCUGAAGAUUUGCCUUCAACUGCAAUUAUAUUGUAUGCUGGCGAAACAAAACUAUACAUAGCCGCUGCAUGUUAUGUACCUGUCCUGAUUGAUUCAGGAGCCUGUCGUUCAUCAGUUAUCGUUUGUAGAUGUGGUUCAUUGGUAUUUUCCCGUUUGGAUAUAUAUAUAUAAAUUAGAUCGUUGGUUUCCGUUCGAAUUGUGUACACCAAUAAUUUUGGGGUCCUUUAAGCUUGCUGUUUGGUCUGGAUCAAAGCCCUUGGUAAAAGCCGUACUUUGACCUGUGUUUGUUAUUAUCAGGUUGAGAACAACCCUCCCUCAGACAAGGGGUCAUUUUACUGAUGUAGAAAAGAAAAUAGAAAUACCAAGGAUUUGUAUAGUUCUUCUAUACAAAACCUUUGAAAACUUAGAAUUUUGUACUCAAAAAGAGGAGAGUAACAUCACAUUUUAAACAACUUUUUCUAAAAGAGGGGUCCACUUAUUUUGAAUAAUAUUAAACUGUUAAAGUAAAUGUGUCAAUGGUUCAAGUCCAGGAAUAUUACAAAAUUCUUGGACAUGUUUUGACCAUUUAAUACCAGAUAGAUAUAUAGUUCUUUGAGAAAAUAUGAGCCCUUUUGUACAAACAAAUAUAUUAUAAUUUAUAGUGAUCCCUCAUAAAACAUGUAAAAGGGAUAUUUAUAUCAUUAAGGGGUUGUCCCCAAACUGAUUAUGACUUGGAUGGAGAAUUGUCUCAUAGUCAGUCACGCAUACAUAGACCAGAUGUAAUUAUUUCUUGGUGAACAGGGAAAAAUACUUCAGAAAUUAAAGAAAUGUCAAAGUACAAGUUAGAAAUCAAGCUUUAAUAUUGUCAAAACCUACUAUUUUAUGUUUACAAAAAAAAAAUUAUAAUCGCUCGCCUUUACUUUUCAGCUUCGCCUCAAAAAUUUGCAAAUUAAAUAUUUUUUUUAUUAAAAUUUUCAAAUCGCUCGCUCGCCCCAAAUUUUGGAGUCCAAAAAUCCGUAGAACAAGAAAUUAAAUUGGUGUGGCCUAAUGUAUAAAAUUAGAAUCUUUUAACGUGAAUUGAAUGCAGAGUUUUAGACUGGCAGAAAAUUAAAGCAGCACAACUAAAUAUGGACCAUAUUAGUUAAAUGUCAUUGAUCAUAAUUGAUCAUAAUUAUGAAGAAAAAAAUCCAUUUACCUAUUUUGAAAUUCCUAACCAGUCAAAACAAGUUAAAAAAAUUCCCAAAUUCUACCUUCUCUGUAUGGACACUGGUGAGUGAUCCACUCGAUGUAUUUGAUUAUAUAUAUAUAAUUAUUAAAAGGACAGUUUAAGGUCGUUUUGGAUUGAAGAUAGAUAAUGAGAUUUCUCUACCCCUCAUAAAUAAUUUCUUCACUUCUAUUUCAUUUUUUUCCAUUUGUUUUGUGUGUGUGUGUGUGUGUGUGUGUGUGUGUGUGUAUUUGUAAAUGAAUAUAUAAAUCUCUAUAUUUACAUACGUUCAGGUCACAAAAUGGUCACAAUUAAUAUGCCUCGUACUACUUACAGUAUUCUUCAAAAUAUCAACCAGUACUGUAAAUCAAAUGAAAUUUUGGGUGCUGGUAGGAUAUAAAAACAUCUAUCUCCAGAAAAAACUCUGAUAUAGACAUAGAACACAAAAUGUUCUGAGUAUUUUUUUUUUAAGAUAGUGGGCACCUAUUUAUCAUCUGUCCAGAUCAAAAUUCUUCCAUUACUUAUGUUUAAAUGGAUUUAAAAAAUCAAAUAAUAGAAGAACAAUAUUUUUUCAAAUAAAAUUUUAUCCAUCACUUGUGUUUAAAUGAAUUCCAUAAAUUAGAAGGAGUCAUUUUAUUUGGCCUGAAGUUUCAAUGUCGAAUAACAUCAAAGACGAAUGGAUGGUACACAUUGUUUGUCUUCGUUAGAAGAUACGACGAGGUCAAUAUUCGGAUAAAAACUUAAUGAUAGUAUAAUAAGAGAUGCAAAAUUACAUUUUUUUUACAUACAAAUUUUUUAAUGUUUCGAUUCAAUAGUUAUGAAGGGUUACAAAUACAAAACUCAGACUCUGUUGUAUGAAUAUCACAAAGUAUCUGUUUUGCUAGGAAACAUAGGUGAAUAAUGUCAUUAAGCACUGACAUUUUAUUAGAGGCAUUAAAAGUUGAAGCAAGGAAACAUAUUUAUAACAAAGACGUAGGAAUUGUCAGUGCUAAAUGGGAUACAAAUUUCAAAAUAAAUUUUCUGAUACUCAAAUUUAACUGUUGAUAAUUGCACAUUAACACUACGUUUUAUUAUUUCAAAGUAGUUAUUCAAUGAGAUUUGUAUCGCAUGUUUAAAGGAGUAUUGUUUGUACGAAUCUUAUAAUCAAUGCAGAAAAGUUUGAUUGAAUGUCAUCCGGGUAUACGUUUAAAAAUCAAAACGAAAAACAAAGUUUUUGUUAACUGUAUGCAUUUAGCAACAGUAAAUGAUGAUUAAAGCAUUGUAUAUUAAAAACAACAUUAAAAACCAUGAAAUAAAAUAAUUACUUAUACAAAUAUAUACCAGGCUUAGUCUCUUGUAUGCCGGAUGCGCGGUGCGUACACAAAAGACUCAACAGUUACGCUCCAAUAAAAAAGUAAGAGCCAAAUGAAGUACAGAGUUUUAAUAAAAGAUCAAUAGCUCUGAAAGGUUUUGCCGAAUACAGCAAAUAUAAUACUUUCUUGGGGGAACCUAUCCUUGCAAAAAUUUUAGUAAACUGUUGAUUUUUUAAUAAUGACUAUAUCAAAUGAUAGUUGAUGUCAAUGUAACACAAAAGUGCUGACUACUGGGUUGGUUAUAUUAUAGAGGAUGAAACCUCCACAAGGAGUGAAAUCAAGCUAGUGGUUGUACCUAAAGUCAUCAUAUAUACCAGGCUUAAAAUUGUGUAUUUUUUAUCAAUUUUUCAUGCCUUACUCAUUCACUCGUUUUCGUGUUGAAUAUAUUUGAAAUAUUGCAAGUGUUGUUUUUAAGCGACCACAAAUGAUAAUCAUUUAAUCAACUCUUCAUUUGAUUUAUUUGUAGCGUGUUCGUGUCCCUGCAAUACUGUUGGUAGAACCUGGCAACAUUUACUCAGUUUAAAUAUGACGGAAGAGGAAUUAGUUAUUUACCUACAUGAAUAUCUACAAGACCUGCAGCAAAACAUUACUAUUGAUCCCAAAACCACGUCUUCAUACAUCAAUUCCAAAACCUCAGCAUCAGACAGUCGUUCUUCCUCUGCUGUAAUUGGCUGGUUCGGUGGAGUAAUGAUGUGUGUGCCAAUAAUUCUAUGUCUGUGUUCAGAUUUCUGCCGAUGUUCUCAUAUCAAGAAGUCUAAAGAAGAAUAAUGAUACUAUAGAUAGGUUUGUUUAGUUUUGAUAAUGAUAGAAACUGGUUAUGUUUUGAACUGCACCAUGACAUGAAAAAUAACAACAGCAAGUGAAAAGGAAAAGAAAAACUUAUAUUUUGUUGAUUUUUAAUAAAUGUGCGCCUAUCGAUCAUUAUAGAAGGAAUACUUCGAUGAUCCUUUGUUUUUCUCUUAAAGAAUCGAAUGCAGAUACCAUGAUUUACAGGGUCAUUCAUAUAAGAUAAAUAAAGGCAACAGUAGUAUUCUGCUGUUCGAUGAACUACUUGGAUGAUACUGGGGUUUUCCCUGAUAGAAUUGGAUGCAUAUGUUAGAAUUAACAGGAUCAUUUUCGAGUAGACAAACAAUUAACUUCGAGUCAUAAAUAGGGGGAAAAUUAACUCUUUUACAAUUUCACGCUUGAAACAAGUAUUAUAUAGUUUCUCUGCAAGG